GAUGCAGCGACGCCGCGUGAGGGAUGACGGCCUUCGGGUUGUAAACCUCUUUCAGCAGGGAAGAAGCCACAAGUGACGGUACCUGCAGAAGAAGCGCCGGCUAACUACGUGCCAGCAGCCGCGGUAAUACGUAGGGCGCAAGCGUUGUCCGGAAUUAUUGGGCGUAAAGAGCUCGUAGGCGGUUUGUCGCGUCUGCUGUGAAAGCCCGGGGCUCAACCCCGGGUCUGCAGUGGGUACGGGCAGACUAGAGUGCAGUAGGGGAGACUGGAAUUCCUGGUGUAGCGGUGAAAUGCGCAGAUAUCAGGAGGAACACCGAUGGCGAAGGCAGGUCUCUGGGCUGUUACUGACGCUGAGGAGCGAAAGCAUGGGGAGCGAACAGGAUUAGAUACCCUGGUAGUCCAUGCCGUAAACGUUGGGCACUAGGUGUGGGGGACAUUCCACGUUCUCCGCGCCGUAGCUAACGCAUUAAGUGCCCCGCCUGGGGAGUACGGCCGCAAGGCUAAAACUCAAAG
This 512-nucleotide ribosomal RNA is filed under the name Kocuria sp. AT03-02. RNAcentral describes it as "bacterial SSU rRNA". It matches the Rfam family "Bacterial small subunit ribosomal RNA", at positions 385 to 906 of the family's 1533-position model. The record is from RNAcentral. Lineage: Bacteria; Bacillati; Actinomycetota; Actinomycetes; Micrococcales; Micrococcaceae.